UAAUAAUCAUGGGUUAUUAAUUACUUCUGCAAGAAACUUAAAUCCUCAGUGUGACACAACUCAGUCCUUCUACUGCAGCAGCUCUUUUAUAAAUGCCUCCCAAAGCUCCAAGAAGGAACAAAGAAUGUGACCCAGUAAGAUCACACCAUGAGUCUAUAUUGCAGAAACCUUUGUUCAACAAAACUGCAGAUGCUCUGUUGAAUCCACUGGAGAUUGUUCUGAUACUAAGGACAAGUAUCAAACAUCUUUCCUGUGAAAAAUUCCCUCUCCUAGUACUUUAGUUCUGUGGAUCCAAAAUUUAUAGCAUUCUUCUACCACCACAGGGGCUCAUAUGACAUUAACAGACAAGACACUUUUCAGAAAGACAGGUUGUUCUUUUGGGCCACAUCUAAGAAAUCUUUGUCUAGCCAAAAGCCACAAAUAAUUUCUCAUUUUUUGGCUUCUGGAAGAUGUACAGUUAAAUGUUAUAUUUGGGACUGUUAUCUAAUUUGGUUAAAUUGCACUCUACAAUAUGGUAUUUGAAUUGAUGAAAAAUUAGUAAAUGUUAAUAUUUUUUAAAGUAGCCAAAUCUUGCAAUUUAUAUAUAAUAGAGAAGACUAGAAAAUCCCCCAUAUUUAUUUCCUCUUACUUCGUACUACUAAAAUUUGUAUUUAGGCAUUUGGUUUCUCAGAUAAACAUUACAUUCCCCAGUAUAUGGUUCUAUCUGGCUUGGUGACGACAUGUUGAACAUUAAGAUGUGAGCAGAAGUAAUACAUACACACUCUUUUUCAUGUCUUUAAUUGAAUGGGAUAUUGGCCCAUUUUUUCUUCCAGUUUAUUACACUGAAUAUUGACAUGUUAUUUUCCAAUAUUGAGACAAUCAAUGACAAGACUUUAAGAGUAACAAUGUAAAAAUACAGAAGUUGUCUGAGUUUAUCAACAAUCCCCUGGAUUAGAACCCCCUACCAGUUCUAGGUCAUCUAAUAUAUAGACAUUGUGUUCAGUAGAAAUAAAUAUAUAUAUUUUUUAUUAUGCUUUAAGUUCUAGGAUACAUGUGCACAACAUGCAGUUUUGUUACAUUGGUAUACACGUGCCAUGUUGGUUUGCUGCACCCAUUAACUCAUCAUUUACAUUAGGUAUUUCUCCUAAUGCUAUCCCUCCCCCUGCCCCCACCCCCGACAGGCCCUGGGGUGUGAUUUUCCCCACCCUGUGUCCAAGUGUUCUCAUUGCUCAAUUCCCACCUAUGGGAAUACAUUUUUAAAUCAUUUUUAAAGGUGUUAUUACAUUCUGAUUGAACAUUUUCAGAAAGAAUAAAUAAUUUAAUACAAGAAGUGGGCCACUUCAUGUAACAAAACAAACCACCACUACAGCAACAACAACAAAAAACACUAAUGAAUGUGACUUUAGCUUUGCAACAUCGUGACAGACUAGCAAGUUAAUGACAUUUGUUAUGCCAUAGAAAAUAUUUGUUGAAUUGCCACUCUAAUGACUUUAUAUCAGCCAACUCAUUAUCAACACUAGAAAAGAUGAUUAAAAAAUACUUCAGUACGUUCACGUGUUGGCUUGUUAACAUUUUUAAGAGUCUAUAAGAGAAAAAUGCAUCCAAUCUUGACAAAAAUAUUUUUCAAGUAUCUUGUAGGUACGUACAACUAACUACCUUGUGAACAAAAGUCACUAUAUAAUUAUAUAAUUUCUGACACUUAAAAAAGUUUAUUGUGCUAAAGAAGAUAUAUGUUCUAAUACCAAAUCCACAUAUAAAAUAAUUGACUUAAAUAAUUUAAGAUGCUCUUUUAUAUAUUUAUAUUAAAAACUUUACAGAGAAUAAAAAAAGCAUUAUACAGGCUACUUAUGGUUUUUGAUGUUUGGAUCUACAAUACAUGUAUCAAAGAUUGUGGAAAUAAAUCAAACAAUAUAUUCAAUUGGACUUAAUUGCAUUAUUACAUGCCAAGUGUCGUAUACCAUCUAUUUGCACAUAACACUUUUUAAUUUAGGUAAAAUUAUUAUCAUAAAGCUACAUGAAUUUAUUUUAUUCCAUGUUAUUAUUUAUGUAUUGUUAGGAACAUUUGCUUAAAAAUCAUAUUUGGACAUAGUUAGUAUCAGAUACUUUACAUCCUUUGAAUCAGUUAUUUUAUAACAGUAUAUACUAAACAUCAUUACUCCUUUUCAAACAUAAAUAACGCAAUACAAAUUGGACAAAAAAUUCAGGAAAGAUCUGGGAUCAAAAAGGAGGUAUUGAAACAUCACAUGUACUCCAUAAUUAUAUACAAAUAUUUUGUACCCAUAAUAUUUAAAAUACAGAAAAUUAAAAGGUGCAUUUUCCUCAAAGUGCAUGCUUCUUUUGCUAUGCAAAACUGCAAGAUAUGGAAAGAAGUGUAUUAAAACACUAAAUCACUUUAUGUGGAAGAUAAAAGGGAUGGUACCCAAUGUAAGACUUCAUGUAGUGCACUGAUACAUUCAAUACAAAUGAUGUAUUAACUUCAAGAUAACAUGAGAAAGUUAAAUUAUCUAACUUAUUUCAAACUAGGGGAUAGUAUGUUCUCAUUAUUAGAAGCCAGAAUUCUGCUUAUCCAUUUCUAUUAUUAGAAAAAAACAUAAUUUUUAUUCUUGUCUUAAAAAUAGACACCAUGAUAUCAUUCUCUGUAAAUGCAGCAUGAUAGUCUGUUUACAGAGUUUAUAUCAUUCCAAGACUGCACUUCUAAAGUGAGAAAAUAUUAAAGGAUAUAAACUCACUCCUCUCUACAAAAUUCCUUAUUUUUUAUGCAAUGGCUUUAAAAUGUAUGGAAGGGGAGUUAUGGAAACAAUCCAUACCUGGAAAGCAUUCUAUCCAUGCCUUUGAAAUGGUUAUCUAGUACUAGAUUCUUAUCAGUGCCUAGCUAUGUAAUGUGUGUAGCUUAAGAUUUUUAAGAAAGAAGGAUAAAAUGCUCAAUAUAAAUUUAAAAAGCACUUUUAUUGGAAUAUUGAAUCAUAUAUUUGCUUUCUGUAAGUCCUUUUAUCUAUAAAAUAAUAGUUGAGAAAGGCAAAUAGAAUAUGUGGAGGAAUUAAAAAUUCAGUUGUAGGGUGGUAAAUGAAAACCAAAUUUUUCAUUCACCACAUUAAAUGUAAAUGGGUAUUAUACUCAAUUUAAGCAGCAAAGUUGCUUUUUUUUUUUUUUUUUUUUUUGAGACAGAGACUCACACUGUCGCCCGGGCUGGAGUACAAUGUUGCCAUCUCGCUUCACUGCAACCCCUGCCUGCUGGGUUCAAGCCAUUCUCCUGCCGCAGCCUCCCGUGUAGCUUCUUAAGAUGUGAAGAUUUUUAAAUUAAGAUGACUCUUGGGAUGAACCAUCUUGUGUUGGUUAAAGACUUUUACUGACAUAUUUUUAAUAAUUUUUUUAACUUUUAUUUUCAGGUCAAUGGCACAUGCGUAGGUUUGUUAUGUAGGUAAACUAGUGUCACAGGGAUUUGUUGUGCAGAUUAUUUCACCACCCAGCUAUUAAGCCUAGUACCCAUUAAUUGUUUUUCCUGAUCUUCUGCUUCCUCCCACCAUCCACCCUCCCAGAGGCCCCAGUGUCUGUUGUUUCCCUCUAUGUGUUCAUGUGUUCUCAUAAUUUAGCUCCCAUUUGUAAAUGAGAACAUGCAGUAUUUGGUUUUCUGUUCCUGCAUUAGUUUGUUAAGGAUAAAGACCUCCAUCCAGCUCCAUCCAUGUUCCUGCAAAGGACUUGAUCUCACUCUCUUUUAUGGCUGCCUAACAUUCCAUGGUGUAUAUGAACCACAAAAUAAAGAUGGUUCUUAACUUUUAAAUUAAGAUUUUUAAAUUAAGAUGAAUCUUGAUUUUUAAAUUAGUAUGGUUUUAAGAUAGUUUUACAGAUAGAUUAGAUAAUCUAUCUAGAGAUAGACAGGGAGAGAUAUCUAUCAAUACAUAUCUCUAUCUAGAUAUAGAUAGAUGGUUUUCUAUAUAGACCUAUCUAUCUAUAUAUGUAUACAUCUAUAUAUGUCUACACAUAUCUCUAUACACAUAUAUAUAUUUAUAUCUACAUCUAUAUUUCUACAUGUAUAUAGGUAUGUAUAUAUCUACAUGUAUAUAUGUAUAUAGAUAGAUAUAUACAUAGGUAUCUGUAUAUAUGCAUAUACAUGCCUAUCUUUAUCUACAUGUAUAUAGAUAUCAUAUACACACAUAGAUAUAUAUAUAUAUCGGCAUGUAGAUAUUUAUGUAGAUAUACAUAUAUAGAUAUCUGCAUAUAUACAUUUGUAUAUAUAGACAUAGAUAUAAAUAUUAAUAUAUCUAUAUAUGUAUAUAAAUACAUAUACAUAUCUGUAUCUGUAGAAGAUAUCUACUAUCUUCUAUCUAUAUAUCUAUCUAUAGAACCAUCUUAAUUUAAAAACCUUUCAUAUAUGCAUAUAAAAGGUAAUCAAACACAAGCCAAAUGAAAAUUUGUUUAGCUAUGUUAAUAUCAGACAAAAGAGAUUUUAAGGCAGAAAUUAUUACUUGAAAGGAAGAUGUAUCCAUCAUCCAUAUAAAAGAAUCAACUAUUGAGGAAGUUGUCAAACUUGUGUAUGUAUAUUCACUCACACACAGUUAACACACAUUUACAAUUUUUAUAGAACUAAAAGGAGCAAUAGCCGCGUCUUCAAUCAUAAAGACUUUAAUAUACCUUUUUCAAUAACUGAUAGCAAAAAGGAUACAAAAUAUCAAUAAUAAUAGAAAAAUUUAAAGCAGUAGGAUUAAAUACUUUGAUAUAAAAACUGCACCCAAAAAUAGCAAAACACACAAUUUAUUAUAAUGUAUUUGGAACGUGUUUCAAAAUUUACCAUAGCUAUCUAUAGAUAUCUCUGUCUAUCUAGGUAGAUAGAUAAUAGAUAGGUAGGUAGGUAGAUAGAUAGAUAGAUAGAUAGAUAGAUAGAUAGAUAGAUAGAUAGGUUAGAUAGACAGAUAUAGGCUGAGGUUAGGCCCAAAACAAGAAUCAAUAAAUACCAAAAAUUUGAAAUCCUUGACAGUGUUUUUUGUACAACAAUGUUAUUAAGCUGCAAAUCUAUAGCAAGACUUUGAAAGUGACCAAAUGUUUAGAAAUUAAGCAUCACAUUUCUAAGUUAUUCAUGGAUCGAAAAAGUAAUUACAGUGAAUAUUAAAAUAUAUUUUGAAUUUAAUAAAAACGAAAGUAAAAAUACUGCUUGUUAAAAGAUGGGAGGCUUAGGCAAACCUCAGCUUGGAGAUAAAUGCAUAUGCUUACAUAAAUAUGUUUAAAAAAUUAAAGCUUGAAAAUUAAUAAUCUAAUUGUCAAUUUCAAAAAUUUAAAAUGUGAUGUCAAAUUAAAUCCAAAGAAUUAGAAAAGAGAAGAUACAUAAGAAGCAUGAGAAAAGGAAACAAUCAUAAAAUAAAUGAAAUCAGCAAAAGCCAAAGUUACUUUGAAAAGACUGAUAAAAAUAUACCAUGAUUAUGCAUGAAAUUUAAAAAAAAGAGUAUCCACAAAUUCUAAAUAUCAUGAAUAAUAACAAGGAAAUCAUUAUAGAUUCUAUAGUCAUGGGAGAGAAAAAGAGAAUGUAAUAAGUAACUUUAAGUCAAAAAUUUUGAAAUAAUUUGAUGAAAUAGAUACAUUUCUAGAAAAUCAUUAAUAGUGACACAAGAAUAAAUAGCAAAUCCUAAUAGCUCUAUAUCUAUUAAAAAUAAAAUUACAAUUAAAGCUUUCCAAAUGUAGUGAGUCUAAAUCAAAUAAAAUAUUAAAAAUCUGAAAUGUUUCCAGGAAGAAACAUUGAAUUCCUAAUAUAAAAUGUAACAUAUCAUAUGCAAUCCCUUUACUGAAAAUUGUGAAAUUUUACUGAGAGAAAUUAAAGAUAUUCAACAGAAAUAAAGGUGUACUGUGAGUCCUAUGUCAUUCCUGGUAUUAGAAGAAAGAUUCAGUAUUUUAAAUAAAUCUAUAUUUGUAAUACACUGAAAAUCACAAUACUGUGAUUAGUAAUAGCAUAAUUUGUCUGCAUUAUAUUUGGUGGCAACUGAAAAACUGACUAUAAAAUGCAAAUAAAAAUGCAGUGUAUAGAUAACUUUGAAGAAAAAAUAUAAUGUGAAGACUUACACUAUUAGAUAUAAAGUUUUUAUAAAUGUAUAUUAAUUAUGACAUUAUGGAAAAGGUGCAAGUAUAGAUAUUUCAAUGAAACAGAAUAGAGAGCUCGUAAAGAGAACCACACAAUAUAUUUAGCUGAUUUGUGAAAAAAAUAGUGCUUCAGUACAAUGAGGAAAAGAUUCAUUUUCAAUAAAUUGUGCUGUCUUUCAUACAUCGGUACAGAUAAAAAUGAAUAUUAACAUCCAACCUCACAACAUACACAAAAAUUAUUUCAUAUAGAAGCCAAUGUGUAACAUAAAACAGUACAGUUUUUAAAAAGUAAUACAGAGGACACUUCUAUGACCUUAAGAUUUUAAAAAAGACUCAAAAAGUAACGAUUGAAGGCUAAUAAAUAAGAUAAAUAAGUUAAUAAAUAGUAAUAAAAUAACAUAAAAAAUAAGGAUUUGUAAUCAUAAAAUAACUCACUGAGAGUGAAAAGGCAAGCAACAGAAUGGGAAAUGAAAUUUGCAAACAUAAAUACAAUAAGAACUCUUGAUCAAAAGAUACUUUUUAAACUCUACAAAUGAAUUUUUUGAAAAAAAAAAUAUGGCCAGGUACAGUGGCUCACGCCAUUAAUCCCAGCACUUUGGGAGGAACACUUGAGCCCGAGAAUUU
This 6666-nucleotide long non-coding RNA is filed under the name Homo sapiens (human). Its description in RNAcentral is "HSALNT0165133". The record is from RNAcentral. Lineage: Eukaryota; Metazoa; Chordata; Mammalia; Primates; Hominidae.